Molecule: ribosomal RNA, 220 nt
Filed under: uncultured bacterium
Lineage: Bacteria
Description: partial 16S ribosomal RNA
Rfam family: Bacterial small subunit ribosomal RNA
Source: RNAcentral
GCAAGUCGAGCGCACUCUUCGGAGUGAGCGGCGGACGGGUUAGUAACGCGUGGGAACGUGCCCUUCUCUAAGGAAUAGCCUCUGGAAACGGAGAGUAAUACCUUAUACGCCCUUCGGGGGAAAGAUUUAUCGGUGAGGGAUUGGCCCGCGUUGGAUUAGGUAGUUGGUGGGGUAAUGGCCUACCAAGCCGACGAUCCAUAGCUGGUUUGAGAGGAUGAUC